AAAUGAGGCAAAAAUAUAGAUGCCAAGAGCCCUUGUGAGUAAGGGGUACAGCUAAGGAGUCAUAGUAAAUGGGCAAAUUCCCCAAAAUAUUUUCACUGUAGCCUAUACAGAACCACUAUCAAAAUUAGAAAUUGCCCUAUGAGUGGUGAUAAAGAGCGGGGAGAAUAAGAGAGAAGAGACAGGUGGGCCCAGGGAGCUGAGUGAAAGCAAGGAGCCCCCGCUAGUCAACAGGGGGAUAGGUUGGUAGCUUGGCUCCCUGGAUCUGAUUUUUAGGCUCUAAUCCCAAGGGCCUGGAAAGGCCAAAUAUUCCCAAGACCGAUUUCCUGGCUGCCUCUAAGCUUCUCAUGCCAGCAGAGGGGAGAAAAUCAAAUGGACUGGUGCCAUUUUGCAGAAAGAAGCUGGCUGGCUCUGGAAUGGGCUGGCGUUAUUCAGACCUCACCCGACUAACAUGAAACUGUCAACAGUGGGGGAGGGUAGAAAUGAGAGAGAGAGAGAGAGAGAGAGAGAGAGAGAGAGAGAGAGAACCAUAAGAGGCCUGAAACUCUUAAGGACAGAAUCAGCUAUAGAAUAAUCAUCCUGGGCAGUGAACUCCCUUCCGCGGGGUGAGCUCUGAAGCUCCGAGAGAGCAGGGAUCUGGUCCUGUUCAUGAUUUUGUAAAUAACAACUUAUCAAGUGCCUGUUGAGGUCAGAAGAUAUAACAGUGAAUAAGACCUAGCCUCUGCCAUCAUGGAACAGAGUCUAGUGGGGGAGACAGAACACAAUCCUGCCAUUACAGGACAAUGUGGUUGGUGGAUGCUCCAAGAGAGGCAUUGGUGCCAAGGAGGCACAUGGAUGUGGUACCAACCCAUGGAUGCCAGAGAAGGCUUCCUGGAGGAGGUGAUACUUAAGUUGGGACAAAAUGAAUAGGAUUUGCCAAGUGGAUGAAGGUCAUGGUAGGGAGAAGUGUGGGGAAUAGGAUUUCAGGCAGAGGGAAUGGUAUUUACAGAAGCCUACAGAUGAAAAGGGUGUGGUGUGUUGUCCAGGAACUACAAGUUGUUCAAAAGUCUGGAGCAUUGACCGCUGGGACUUGGUGGUUGUGUUGUGCAAAUUGUGCUAUUCUGUCUUUGGUUUGUGGAUGGGAACCUGUUUCCCACGAGUGGAAGGCAUCCCCGAAUAUCACGGGCUUUGACUUCUAUGAGAGCAGGGCACGAAGGAGUCACAACGUCUCUGUUAACCUCUUCAGGCUUGGUUGUCUCCUCUGUAAACCAGCUGGGACAAGGAAUGUGAAAGCAAUUUGCAGGUAGAAGAGGGUGUCAUACUUCUCUUGGGUUCUGCUGUAGCUCUGUGUUUGAGGCUGUACUAUCAACACUCUUUGGAUUAUUGAAUUGUUGAUUUGACCAGAGUUGCUUUCCAGAGCUGCACCCCAACGUCCUGCCCUGUAUGUAGAUGGCCUGCCCCACCAGUGCCCCGAUGGUGAUAAUUCCUUGGCCUCCUGUCCAUCCCCACACCCUGCCAAAAAAUACUUCUGACACUUCUGAAAGCCUAGGUACACUGGAGCAGGCUUUCUUUGGGCUUGGGAAUGUUCCCAUUGUGACAUCUGUGGCUCCAUGGAUGGCCAGGGUGGAUUGCUAGGCAGGUGUCCCCUCUCUGUCAUACUGUUUUGUUCACGCCACCUCUUAAGCUGCAGCACAAGUGUAGAAGGAGCCAAGGUGGAAGAAGACAACCUUCUCACCUAGAAGAGGUGUAGUCUUCAGUGGAGGCUGCCUGAGUAGUUGGGUUCCUUGCAAGAAUCCCAUAAUCUGCCUGGGCCCCAGUUUCUUUAUUCAUAACACGUAGAGAUUAGACAGAUGCUCUUUGACUUCUUUGCCCACAUGCUGCCUAAGAGUCCUGGCAGAGGUGGCGGCACGGGCAUUAGGAGGGGGUACAUGGGUAGAAUGAGCUGACGGGGAGGCUAUGGGCAGGCCAGGGCAGAAAAUUCAAGUCACUAGGACCCAGCUAAUUGAGGGAACUGGGCAAGCUGGCUGCCCCUUUUAGUGGGGCCUGAGCUCUCCAGCUUCCACAGUCACCUCCACAGUCCUCCCAUGGCUCCUUUGUUCCAUUGGCCCCUAUGAUCGAGGGCAUACAAUGAACUCUCCAGCCUUAAUUCCCUCCCUGAUACCCUUGACAUUCCCUCUCCCAACUUACCCAUGACCUGACUCAGGGACCUCUUCCACCCUCUCUGAGUCAUCAUGGUUGCCUACAUCUGUUGAGUAAUUUACAUUUGCGGUGUCUGGUCCUGUACUCAUAUUUUCCACACUUUAUCUCAUGAAAUCCUUAUGAAAUACCAUCUGAAGCAGGUUCUGCCUGGAACGUGCUUCUCCUCGUCUUCAUGUGGCUGGUUUGUUCCCACCAUUCAUGCAUCAGCUCAAUUAUUUCUUCUAACGUUUCACCGCCACCUCCCCCC
Molecule: long non-coding RNA, 2422 nt
Filed under: Homo sapiens (human)
Lineage: Eukaryota; Metazoa; Chordata; Mammalia; Primates; Hominidae
Description: HSALNT0143026
Rfam family: 7SK RNA (bases 1557-1844)
Source: RNAcentral